This 503-nucleotide long non-coding RNA is filed under the name Capsicum annuum. RNAcentral's name for it is "long non-coding RNA (CANN_LNC005991)". Lineage: Eukaryota; Viridiplantae; Streptophyta; Magnoliopsida; Solanales; Solanaceae. The record is from RNAcentral.
GUUCGCACACCCAACAUAAUUUCUUCCUCGAACUAAGUUCCACGUGAUCCAUCAUCACAAUCCACGGGUCGCUGAUAUCCAUUGUGUGUCAUGCACAUCAUUUGAGUAUUUAUGGCAAUUGAAAUUUGCAACUAGUUCUUCUUGUGGUGUGCAUCUCCAAGUUUGUAAAGGUUUAGCAAACCGAUCAAGCCCCUACACCUCAUCACUCGCUGCAUUCUCAUACUCAUCUCAUUUAGUCUAGCACUGAUAUCAGUUGUUGGGCUCAACAAUCCCAAAGACACGUUUACAUGGUGUGAUAUAGUCAGUUUUGGAUCAAGUACGUACGGUUUUUUCCAAAAGGUCUCACCAUUAAGAAAUUCUACACCUUAUAUGUAGCUUCUCAGUCUUUUCAGCUAUCAAUAUACGACUUUUGUUCUGAGACCCAACAAUAUCCAAUCUAUUUAGCUCAGGUGAAUCCCUCCAGAAAGAAACUAUUUUGGAAGUGGCCAUUGACUCCAUUGAUG